Molecule: long non-coding RNA, 1042 nt
Filed under: Androctonus crassicauda
Lineage: Eukaryota; Metazoa; Arthropoda; Arachnida; Scorpiones; Buthidae
Source: RNAcentral
GUUUACAGAAGAUUAAAAGAAUAUCCGAAAAAAAAAUACAAUGACAAGUCAGUUAUAAUGCACAAUAGAAUUAGUAAGUGUUUCAAAUAACUUAUUGAAACGAAAAUAAUUCAUAGAAUUCGGGGUGACAAAAGCUGCUUGUGUUAGGUUAGGUUAAGUGGCCACACCGCUGCAGAGGUAUUCUGUAUCUGGCGACGGCCACUUAUAGAUCCAAUCAUAGGCUGACCAACAUCCAUGACGAAGUCAACCGGAGAGUUGAAAGAUGGGAUUCAACGGGACGGGCCCGGAUCCUUCUGAAAAACUGCACAUGUGGGACACGGAUUUUCUAGUGUGGUAAGCCACAGCUUUCCUAAGCGGCAAUCCAAAAGCUGCAUAGAGAAAAUUUAAUUCGAUCACAAAUGUACAAUUGGUGAUCUGUUAGGAAACACUCCCACUACGAAUGAAUCGGAUAACAAACAAUUUAGGGAAAGAUUUUUAUCUUCGGAAAACGAAGACCUCAGAACAAACUGGGACACACGGACUGAUCCGCAAGGAAUAACAAUCUUAUGGCUUAUGCGUUCCUGUACUUAAGGGUAAGGAUGGAAGAAAGUGGUUUUUACCGAUUAAAACGAACUCUGAGACAAUUUAAAACAAAUCAACGAUUUAUUAAAGGAGGAAAGAGAGAGUUGUACAAUUUUUUGUUCUUAGAAUGGCACUCAAAUCAGAUUGAGGUAAAUUGGUUAAAGAAGUCGGAAGUAUUCGCCGCGUGGAAACAUUUCGUAUUUCCAUUCUGGAAGACACGUGUUCGAGUCUCCCCUUGAAAAUAUUUAUCUUGGGAUCUGGGCCCGGCCGUUGAUCCUCGCCUUCACAAUCCAGCUGUUCCCUCCACUGUUGUAUGCAGCCUGUGAAAGAGUUUGUUUCGCUCCUCGAUUAGUACUCUAAUAGAAUGGUAAGUGAUGUUAUUUGUUAAUAAAAAAAUGCUUAUAAUAUAAUUAAAAUAUAGUCACAUUUCGGUUCACGCGUUCGAUUCCUUCCUGAAAGUCGUUCGUAAACAAAAUCUCUU